AAAAAAAGGAAGGAAGGAAGGAAGGAAGAAAGAAAGAAAGAAAGAAAGAAAGAAAGAAAGAAAGAAAGAAAGAAAGAGCACAAAGUGCCCAAGGAGAAGAGACUGAGAAAGGAGCUCACUCAGUAUGAGGCUGAACUUCCUUAAAAGCAAGGAAAGCUUUGAAGGGCCUUACAGGGAAUUGGGAUUGGUGACACGUCCUAGGAAUCCCCAGAAAAAUCAAGGGGGAAACUAGGGAAUGUGGGGGGCAACAUGUGGGGCAAGGUCAGCAAAAUGUCACUGAGACCUGCUUGUAACCCAGGGGUGAAAUGACCUAGGAAAAUUCAGGUUACAUAUGUGGCUCACAAUCAUAGGUUUUAUUUACAGAUACCACUCUGUGGGCAGAGACCAAAGAAAAAAUUUGUUCUUAGGGUUUUUUUUUUUUUCUCUUUUUCUCAUACAGGCAAUUUAUAGGCGAUUGAACCCUGGGGUGAUUUAACCCUAAACCACAUCCCCAGACCUUUUUUUUUUCUUUAAUUUUGAGACAGGGUCUUACUAAAAUGCUGAGGCUGGCCUCAAACUUGUGAUCCUCCUGCCUCAGCUUCCUGAGUCCUUGGGAUUACAGAUGUGCAUCAGCACACCAGCCCUAUUGGAGAUUAUUUAUUGUGAAUUAUUUCUCAAAGCACAUCUAAGAAAGUGUCCACAUAUUUUUAUAAUGAUAUUUACCACCAUAUUAUUUAGCUUACAAUGCUAUUGCUGGUUAAUAUUUAACCACUAGGUCUCUCCAAACAAGUCCAUAUGUGCUAUACACAUACACACACAUAUACCUAAGAUUAUUUUAAACUUUCUAAUAUAAAGAUGUAUAGCACUCAAUUUAUAUAAAACAAUAAAAUGAAGUAUACAAAGUCUUCACUGUACUUUCCAUGUGGUCAACUGAUUCAUUUACUGACUUUUUCCAAGACCUUCUCCACAGCCAAUCUGUGGUUUCAAUUCUACCCUGUGGUUUCAAUUCUACCCUGUGGUAAACAGUAUUUAUAGUCUAGUUCAUGAGAUUCCUAAAAAAAAUAGCAACCCAUCUAGGAGAAUC
This 1063-nucleotide long non-coding RNA is filed under the name Marmota monax (woodchuck). Lineage: Eukaryota; Metazoa; Chordata; Mammalia; Rodentia; Sciuridae. The record is from RNAcentral.